Molecule: ribosomal RNA, 519 nt
Filed under: uncultured eukaryote
Lineage: Eukaryota
Description: SSU rRNA
Rfam family: Eukaryotic small subunit ribosomal RNA
Source: RNAcentral
AGGGCACCACCAGGAGUGGAGCCUGCGGCUUAAUUUGACUCAACACGGGAAAACUCACCCGGCCCGGACACUGGAAGGAUUGACAGAUUGAGAGCUCUUUCUUGAUUCAGUGGGUGGUGGUGCAUGGCCGUUCUUAGUUGGUGGAGCGAUUUGUCUGGUUAAUUCCGAUAGCGAACGAGACUCUAGCCUACUAAAUAGAUCGUCGGCUUACAAACGCUGAUGAGACUUCUUAGAGGGACAGGCGGCGAUUCAGCCGCACGAAACAGAGCAAUAACAGGUCUGUGAUGCCCUUAGAUGUCCGGGGCCGCACGCGCGCUACACUGAAGUGAUCAGCGUGCAUUUUCAGCCUACUCUGCCAAGAGUGGGAAACCCAAUGAACCUUCUUCGUGAUUGGGAUAGGGAGAUUGUAAUUAUUCUCCUUGAACGAGGAAUUCCCAGUAAGCGCGAGUCAUAAGCCUCGCGUUGAUUACCUUCCCUGCCCUUUGUACCACCGCCCGUCCGCUUACUACCGAUAUGAAA